RNAcentral lists this ribosomal RNA (464 nucleotides) under uncultured bacterium. RNAcentral describes it as "partial 16S ribosomal RNA". It matches the Rfam family "Bacterial small subunit ribosomal RNA", at positions 338 to 795 of the family's 1533-position model. The record is from RNAcentral.
CCUACGGGUGGCAGCAGUAGGGAAUUUUCGUCAAUGGGCGCAAGCCUGAACGAGCAAUGCCGCGUGAAAGCGGCAGGUCUUCGGAUCGUAAAGGUCUUUUGAAGGGGAAAAAGAGCGGAGAGAGGAAAUGAACUCCGAUUGAUAUUACCCUUCGAGGAAGUCACGGCUAACUACGUGCCAGCAGCCGCGGUAAUACGUCGGUAGCGAGGGUUAUCCGGAAUGAUUGGGCGUCAAGGGUGCGUAGGCGGCCUGCUAAGUUUGGAGUGAAAGGUACCGGAUCAACCGGUACAGGCUCUGGAAACUGGCGGGCUAGAGAGCAGGAGAGGGCGGUGGAACUCCAUGUGUAGCGGUAAAAUGCGUAGAUAUAUGGAAGAAAACCAGUGGCGAAGGCGGCCGCCUGGCCUGUUACUGACGCUGAGGCACGAAAGCGUGAGGAGCAAAUAGGAUUAGAUACCCCAGUAGUC